RNAcentral lists this ribosomal RNA (426 nucleotides) under uncultured bacterium. RNAcentral describes it as "partial 16S ribosomal RNA". It matches the Rfam family "Bacterial small subunit ribosomal RNA", at positions 354 to 796 of the family's 1533-position model. The record is from RNAcentral.
GUGAGGAAUUUUCCGCAAUGGGCGAAAGCCUGACGGAGCAAUGCCGCGUGAAGGAUGAAGGCCUAUGGGUUGUAAACUUCUUUUCUUAGAGAAGAAUAUUGACGGUAUCUGAGGAAUAAGCAUCGGCUAACUCUGUGCCAGCAGCCGCGGUAAGACAGAGGAUGCAAGCGUUAUCCGGAAUUAUUGGGCGUAAAGCGGGUGCAGGUGGCUUGGUAAGUCAGAUGUGAAAGCCUGGGGCUUAACCCCAGAAGUGCAUUUGACACUGCUGAGCUUGAGUGCUGGAGAGGCUAUUAGAAUUCCUGGUGUAGUGGUGAAAUACGUAGAUAUCAGGAGGAAUACCGGAGGCGAAGGCGGAUAGCUGGCCAGACACUGACACUCAGACCCGAAAGCGUGGGGAUCAAACAGGAUUAGAAACCCCGGUAGUCC